UAUUAACCAUGUGUCCAGAAUCUUUCUGUCACCCUCCUCUGUCUGCCCCUUUCUAUCUGUCACCCCCUCUCUCAGCCCCUAUCUAUCUCUCAGCCCCCUUUCUAUCUGUCACCCCCUCUCUCAGCCCCUUUCUAUCUGUCACCCCCUCUCUCAGCCCUAUCUAUCUCUCAUCCCCCUCUCUCAGCCCCUUUCUAUUUGUCAUCCCCCUCUCUCAGCCCCUUUCUAUCUCUCACCCCCUCUCUUAGCCCCUUUCUAUUUGUCAUCCCUCUCUCAGCCCCUUUCUAUCUCUCACCCCCUCUCUCAGCCCCUUUCUAUUUGUCAUCCCCCUAUCUCAGCCCCUUUCUAUCUGUCACCCCCUCUCUCAGCCCCUUUCUAUCUGUAAUCCCCCUCUCUCAGCCCCUUUCUAUCUGUCACCCCCUUCUCUCAGCCCCUUUCUCUCUCAGCCCCCUCUCUCAGCCCCUUUCUAUCUGUCGUCCCCCUCUCUCAGCCCCUUUCUAUCUCUCACCCCCCCUCUCUCAGCCCCUUUCCAUCUGUCACCCCCUCUCUCAGCCCCUUUCGAUUUGUCACCCCCUUCUCUCAGUCCCUUUCUAUCUCUCAGCCCCCUCUCUCAGCCCCUUUCUAUCUCUCAGCCCCUUUCUAUCUCUCAGCCCCUUUCUAUCUGUCCCCCCCCCUCUCUCAGCCACUUUCUAUCUCUCAGCCCCUUUCUAUCUGUCAUCCCCCUCUCUCAGCUGCUUUCUAUCUCUCAGCCCCUUUCUAUCUGUCAACCCCCUCUCUCAGCCCCUUUCUAUCUGUAACCCCCCUCUCUCAGCCCCUUUCUAUCUGUCACCCCCCUCUCUCAGCCCCUUUCUAUCUGUCAUCCCCCUUUCUCAGCCCCUUUCUAUCUGUCAUCCCCCUCUCUCAGCCCCUUUCUAUCUCUCACCCCCCUCUCUCAGCCCUUUUCUAUCUGUCAUCCCCCUUUCUCAGCCCCUUUCUAUCUGUCAUCCCCCUUUCUCAGCCCCUUUCUAUCUGUCAUCCCCCUCUCUCAGUCUCUUUCUAUCUGUCACCCCCCAUUCUCAGCCCUUUUCUAUCUGUCACCCCCCCAGCCUCUAUCUAUCUUCCUUCCAUCUCUCUCUCUCCCUCUCCUAUUCUUUAAGACUACUAACAGCAUAAAGCCAUUAAAAUCCCUGUUAUAGAUUCAGUUGAAUGUCUUAUCAAUGCAGCGGAGUUUCAUUACGAUGAAAAAUCCAUCUUUCACAGCUGCUACUAUUUAAUCAGAUAAAAUUCAACAGAACGGAGCGUGGCAGAGAUACACACACACAAACACACACACACACCCCUUCACCCCCCACCCCCACCCCC
Molecule: long non-coding RNA, 1338 nt
Filed under: Oncorhynchus kisutch (coho salmon)
Lineage: Eukaryota; Metazoa; Chordata; Actinopteri; Salmoniformes; Salmonidae
Description: lncRNA (ENSOKIG00005009482.1)
Source: RNAcentral